Molecule: microRNA precursor, 65 nt
Filed under: Anolis carolinensis (green anole)
Lineage: Eukaryota; Metazoa; Chordata; Lepidosauria; Squamata; Anolidae
Description: Aca-Mir-146-P2_pre stem-loop
Source: RNAcentral
UGAGAACUGGUUUUCGUGGACUGGUUUCCAUUUAGUCUUCUCAGUCCAUAAUGCUCAGUUUUCCA